This 481-nucleotide ribosomal RNA is filed under the name uncultured bacterium. RNAcentral's name for it is "partial 16S ribosomal RNA". It matches the Rfam family "Bacterial small subunit ribosomal RNA", at positions 31 to 507 of the family's 1533-position model. The record is from RNAcentral.
GAACGCUGGCGGCAGGCCUACCACAUGCAAGUCGAGCGGAUGAAGGGAGCUUGCUCCUGGAUUCAGCGGCGGACGGGUGAGUAAUGCCUAGGAAUCUGCCUGGUAGUGGGGGAUAACGUCCGGAAACGGGCGCUAAUACCGCAUACGUCCUGAGGGAGAAAGUGGGGGAUCUUCGGACCUCACGCUAUCAGAUGAGCCUAGGUCGGAUUAGCUAGUUGGUGGGGUAAAGGCCUACCAAGGCGACGAUCCGUAACUGGUCUGAGAGGAUGAUCAGUCACACUGGAACUGAGACACGGUCCAGACUCCUACGGGAGGCAGCAGUGGGGAAUAUUGGACAAUGGGCGAAAGCCUGAUCCAGCCAUGCCGCGUGUGUGAAGAAGGUCUUCGGAUUGUAAAGCACUUUAAGUUGGGAGGAAGGGCAGUAAGUUAAUACCUUGCUGUUUUGACGUUACCAACAGAAUAAGCACCGGCUAACUUCGUG